RNAcentral lists this non-coding RNA (31 nucleotides) under Rattus norvegicus (Norway rat). The record is from RNAcentral. Lineage: Eukaryota; Metazoa; Chordata; Mammalia; Rodentia; Muridae.
UGACUAGCCUGAUUAGAAUAUAGUUGUAGCA